Molecule: non-coding RNA, 72 nt
Organism: Aphanomyces astaci
Lineage: Eukaryota; Oomycota; Saprolegniomycetes; Saprolegniales; Verrucalvaceae
Source: the annotation of a RefSeq genome assembly
GUCGGCGCAGCCUAACGGUAAAGUUUGGAGCUUUCAUGCUGGAGGUUGCGGGUUCAAAUCCCGCCGAUGACU